Molecule: long non-coding RNA, 685 nt
Organism: Pseudoliparis swirei
Lineage: Eukaryota; Metazoa; Chordata; Actinopteri; Perciformes; Liparidae
Exons: 4
Source: RefSeq, a predicted model, not a curated record
GCAUACAAAAAUGGAAAACAUGCCAUUUUAAAGCAGUGUUAGCUGUAGUCCAUGAUCAUGUUUUGGUAAGCUAAUAGUAAUUAACUUGUUAUAUUAAUUAGUAAGUAAUAGUAAUUCUCAUUAAAGUUUUAGAUGUUGGUCUAAACUUUGUCAUUUUUUUAUUUGCCUUUUAGGUUGCUGGUUCCAAAAUAAUCUGGAAGUUUGUAUGCAGAGUUCCAGAGGAUAACCAAUCAGAACCUGCCCAACCGAUUCUAUGCUGAGCUUGACCGCCAUCUUCCACGACUAAUGACUUUAUUUAGGCAGAAGGCAUCAAGAACUGGAAAGACAGCAGAUGCUCUGGCUGAAAUUUUACAAAUCCACGAUGAACAGGAAAACCAGGACAUACACACCAAACGUACGACUGUUCUCCACGGCCUCCCUGUCUAUCUGUGCGAGGAUGUAUCUGGAUUCUUCAGAACCUGCACAGACGAGUCUGAUGAGCCAGAGCUUGAUGGGGUUGCAGUGGGCCUCCUUACUGUCACCAGUGACAAUAACACAAGUGCAGUUCACUACCACCCUGUGAAAAUCUCUGUGAUUAUUGAAAGUGAUGUCAUGGUUAGUCUCCCCAGACUUGGCGAUGCCUUCCUGGUAGUCUUUGGAUUCAUGUAUGCACUACACCUCAGCUACCCCAAAGCACUUACCAAGA